RNAcentral lists this transfer RNA (73 nucleotides) under Mrakia frigida. RNAcentral's name for it is "tRNA-Und (NNN) (tRNA-Und-NNN-1-1)". It matches the Rfam family "tRNA". Rfam says of the family: Transfer RNA (tRNA) molecules are approximately 80 nucleotides in length. Their secondary structure includes four short double-helical elements and three loops (D, anti-codon, and T loops). The record is from RNAcentral. Lineage: Eukaryota; Fungi; Basidiomycota; Tremellomycetes; Cystofilobasidiales; Mrakiaceae.
GGCGAGAUAGUACAAUGGAUAGUACUUCUCCAAUUAUAGGAAGAAGACCUGGGUUCGAUUCCCAGUCUUGCCU